This 244-nucleotide ribosomal RNA is filed under the name uncultured Staphylococcus sp. RNAcentral's name for it is "partial 16S ribosomal RNA". It matches the Rfam family "Bacterial small subunit ribosomal RNA", at positions 96 to 334 of the family's 1533-position model. The record is from RNAcentral. Lineage: Bacteria; Bacillati; Bacillota; Bacilli; Caryophanales; Staphylococcaceae.
CGGCGGACGGGUGAGUAACACGUGGAUAACCUACCUAUAAGACUGGGAUAACUUCGGGAAACCGGAGCUAAUACCGGAUAAUAUAUUGAACCGCAUGGUUCAAUAGUGAAAGACGGUUUUGCUGUCACUUAUAGAUGGAUCCGCGCCGCAUUAGCUAGUUGGUAAGGUAACGGCUUACCAAGGCGACGAUGCGUAGCCGAACUGAGAGGGUGAUCGGCCACACUGGAACUGAGACACGGUCCAG